AUUGAACGCUGGCGGCAUGCUUUACACAUGCAAGUCGAACGGUAACAGGCCGCAAGGUGCUGACGAGUGGCGAACGGGUGAGUAAUGCAUCGGAACGUGCCCAGUCGUGUGGGAUAACGCAGCGAAAGCUGUGCUAAUACCGCAUACGAUCUAUGGAUGAAAGCGGGGGACCGUAAGGCCUCGCGCGAUUGGAGCGGCCGAUGUCAGAUUAGCUAGUUGGUGGGGUAAAGGCCCACCAAGGCGACGAUCUGUAGCUGGUCUGAGAGGACGACCAGCCACACUGGGACUGAGACACGGCCCAGACUCCUACGGGAGGCAGCAGUGGGGAAUUUUGGACAAUGGGCGCAAGCCUGAUCCAGCAAUGCCGCGUGCAGGAAGAAGGCCUUCGGGUUGUAAACUGCUUUUGUACGGAACGAAACGGUCUGGGUUAAUACCCUGGGCUAAUGACGGUACCGUAAGAAUAAGCACCGGCUAACUACGUGCCAGCCGCCGCGGUAA
RNAcentral lists this ribosomal RNA (498 nucleotides) under uncultured bacterium. Its description in RNAcentral is "partial 16S ribosomal RNA". It matches the Rfam family "Bacterial small subunit ribosomal RNA", at positions 30 to 523 of the family's 1533-position model. The record is from RNAcentral.